RNAcentral lists this ribosomal RNA (253 nucleotides) under uncultured bacterium. RNAcentral describes it as "partial 16S ribosomal RNA". It matches the Rfam family "Bacterial small subunit ribosomal RNA", at positions 524 to 776 of the family's 1533-position model. The record is from RNAcentral.
UACGUAGGGUGCAGGCGUUAAUCGGAAUUACUGGGCGUAAAGCGUGCGCAGGCGGCUCCUUAAGUCAGAUGUGAAAGCCCCGGGCUUAACCUGGGAACUGCGUUUGAAACUGGGGGGCUAGAGUGUGGAAGAGGGGGGUGGAAUUCCAGGUGUAGCAGUGAAAUGCGUAGAGAUCUGGAGGAACACCGAUGGCGAAGGCAGCCCCCCGGGCUAACACUGACGCUCAUGCACGAAAGCGUGGGGAGCAAACAGG